AGAUCAGGUGGAACUACACCUGCUGACGUCACAUUGGCUAUUUAAGUAGUCAGAAAGCUUCAGAAGACACUGCUUGAAGCCUCAACAUGAAGUUCACCAUGACCAUGCUGGUGACCUUGCUGGCUUUGCUGCUGUCCAGUCUGGUGAGGAGCGCUCUGUGUUCAAACUCUUCAAGCCAAUGCUGUACUGCCAGUCAAAGGUGCACACCGUGGCACCCGCACAACGGAACGUCACUGAAGCUACCGAAGGUUCUCGUCCAAACUGCUGAUCUUGGGAAAAUCGCACAGGCCCGCUGGAAUUACACAAUGGACAGUAACGAAGACAGGACACCACAACACAUCCAGAAUGCUACCUGCUUGCGUUGUGUGGACGAGGGGCUGAAGGCAGUGCCGAUUCAGUAUGAGAUUGAUUUAAUUCACAGAAUAAAAUGUGGAGUUAAAAAGAUUACUUGUAAGUGUCCUUGCAGGGUUAAUGUAGGCUGCACCUGUGUGAGAGAAUAACUCUGUGUGAAAGAGAAGAACUGGCGAAGUAUUUCUGCUAGGUAUCUUGCUGCUUCCUGAGUAGAGUGUAUAGGCCUAUGUAUUGUUUGCAUCCCAAAUGAUUCCCUAUUCCCUAUAUAGUGCACUGCAG
Molecule: long non-coding RNA, 630 nt
Filed under: Salmo salar (Atlantic salmon)
Lineage: Eukaryota; Metazoa; Chordata; Actinopteri; Salmoniformes; Salmonidae
Description: lncRNA (ENSSSAG00000106623.1)
Source: RNAcentral